GACGACGCUGGCGGCGUGCUUAACACAUGCAAGUCGAACGGUGACGAGGAGCUUGCUCCUCCGAUCAGUGGCGAACGGGUGAGUAACACGUGAGCAACCUGCCCCUCACUCUGGGAUAACAGUUGGAAACAGCUGCUAAUACCGGAUACGACACAGACAGGCAUCUGUACUGUGUGGAAAGUUUUUCGGUGAGGGAUGGGCUCGCGGCCUAUCAGUUUGUUGGUGGGGUAAUGGCCUACCAAGACGACGACGGGUAGCCGGCCUGAGAGGGCGACCGGCCACACUGGGACUGAGACACGGCCCAGACUCCUACGGGAGGCAGCAGUGGGGAAUAUUGCACAAUGGGCGAAAGCCUGAUGCAGCGACGCCGCGUGAGGGAUGACGGCCUUCGGGUUGUAAACCUCUUUCAGCAGGGAAGAAGCGAAAGUGACGGUACCUGCAGAAGAAGCACCGGCUAACUACGUG
Molecule: ribosomal RNA, 465 nt
Filed under: uncultured bacterium
Lineage: Bacteria
Description: bacterial SSU rRNA
Rfam family: Bacterial small subunit ribosomal RNA
Source: RNAcentral